GAUGAAGAACGUAGCGAAAUGCGAUAAGUAAUGUGAAUUGCAGAAUUCAGUGAAUCAUCGAAUCUUUGAACGCAUCUUGCGCUCCUUGGUAUUCUGAGGAGCAUGCCUGUUUGAGUGUCAUUAAAUUCUCAACUACACUGACUUUGAAUUGGUGUGGCUUGGAUUUGGGGGGAAAAUUGUUGUGGGCUUUUUGUAUAGUCUGCUCCCCUGAAAUUGAUUCGCGGUACCUUUGUGGAACUGUCUACAGGUGUGAUAAUUAUCUACAUCUUAGACAUCUGCUGGAAUGCUGCUUUCUAAACCUUACUUGUAUUGACAAUCUUGACCUCAAAUCAGGUAGGACUACCCGCUGAACUUAAGCAUAUCAAUAAGCGGAGGA
RNAcentral lists this unclassified non-coding RNA (376 nucleotides) under soil metagenome. RNAcentral's name for it is "partial contains 5.8S ribosomal RNA, internal transcribed spacer 2, and large subunit ribosomal RNA". The stretch from base 1 to 120 matches the Rfam family "5.8S ribosomal RNA", at positions 35 to 154 of the family's 154-position model. The record is from RNAcentral.